Molecule: non-coding RNA, 21 nt
Filed under: Caenorhabditis elegans
Lineage: Eukaryota; Metazoa; Nematoda; Chromadorea; Rhabditida; Rhabditidae
Source: RNAcentral
UUACGAGAAAAUGAUUGAGGC